CCUACGGGUGGCUGCAGUGGGGAAUAUUGGACAAUGGGCGAAAGCCUGAUCCAGCCAUGCCGCGUGUGUGAAGAAGGCCUUCGGGUUGUAAAGCACUUUCAGUGGGGAAGAAAGCCUUGGGGCUAAUACCCUCGAGGAAGGACAUCACCCACAGAAGAAGCACCGGCUAACUCCGUGCCAGCAGCCGCGGUAAUACGGAGGGUGCGAGCGUUAAUCGGAAUUACUGGGCGUAAAGCGCGCGUAGGCGGUCUGAUAAGCCGGUUGUGAAAGCCCCGGGCUCAACCUGGGAACGGCAUCCGGAACUGUCAGGCUAGAGGGCAGGAGAGGAAGGUAGGAUUCCCGGUGUAGCGGUGAAAUGCGUAGAGAUCGGGAGGAAAACCAGUGGCGAAGGCGGCCUUCUGGACUGACACUGACGCUGAGGUGCGAAAGCGUGGGUAGCAAACAGGAUUAGAUACCCUUGUAGUUC
Molecule: ribosomal RNA, 466 nt
Filed under: Vreelandella stevensii
Lineage: Bacteria; Pseudomonadati; Pseudomonadota; Gammaproteobacteria; Oceanospirillales; Halomonadaceae
Description: partial 16S ribosomal RNA
Rfam family: Bacterial small subunit ribosomal RNA
Source: RNAcentral